UACGUAGGGUGCGAGCGUUGUCCGGAAUUAUUGGGCGUAAAGAGCUUGUAGGCGGUUUGUCGCGUCUGCUGUGAAAAUCCGGGGCUCAACCCCGGACUUGCAGUGGGUACGGGCAGACUAGAGUGUGGUAGGGGAGACUGGAAUUCCUGGUGUAGCGGUGGAAUGCGCAGAUAUCAGGAGGAACACCGAUGGCGAAGGCAGGUCUCUGGGACGGUACUGACGCUAAGGCGCGAAAGCGUGGGGAGCGAACAGG
This 253-nucleotide ribosomal RNA is filed under the name uncultured bacterium. RNAcentral describes it as "partial 16S ribosomal RNA". It matches the Rfam family "Bacterial small subunit ribosomal RNA", at positions 524 to 776 of the family's 1533-position model. The record is from RNAcentral.